Nylanderia fulva is the source of this 1247-nucleotide long non-coding RNA. RefSeq lists it as uncharacterized. The record is from RefSeq and is a predicted model, not a curated record. Lineage: Eukaryota; Metazoa; Arthropoda; Insecta; Hymenoptera; Formicidae.
UCUCUCGAGUUUAUCGCGCCGAAAGCGACGAGACGACGGGAUCGCGACUCGCGCGAUCUCGCCGAUCCUUCUUUGAGCGUUUAGCGUCCCGCGGACGCGUUUUCCCGCGAAAUCGCAGUCGGCGUCCCCUCCCGGGCUUCGCGACACGAGAGAGUGGCCGUCGAACAAAAUGGCCGUGGGCCGGCUCGAGGGAAAAUGAAAUUAUAAUCCGCUCCCAUCGCCCGUACACCGGAUGUCGAUCGCGUUCCCGCGCGAUCCUUCCGGCUCGCGCGAUUGCGACAUCUUCGAUGGUACGUUUCUUUUUUGCAUCCACCCCCGCGAACAGACGGAGUUUUCUUUCAUUAUUGUUCCUAGCGUACGAGAUGGAGUGCUUUUCUCUCUCUUUCUCUCUCUCUCUACUACGCCGCUCUCUUUGAGAAAGAAUUCGUUCGCGCGUCAUACCUUCUUCGCUUUGUUCUAUUUCUUUCUUCCUUUUUUUUCUUGUUUUUAUGUCCCGGCGAGUUCGUUUUUACCUUUGUGUUUCUUACUUUUUUUUAAAGUAAAAUACACGCGACAAAUCUAACAUUUUUUUACAGCUUUAUGUUUUAUUAUAUAUUUAUCGUGCGAUAUAUAUAUAUAUGGGAUAAAAUUAUAAUUGUGUGAAUUAUUGAAUACAAUUGCCCUUACAUAGUAAAUCUGAAAUAUAUUUUUACAUAUUGUUAGUUUUUUAUAAAUAAAAUAAGCCAAUUAACUCUCUUCUAGUUCUAUAAUUAACGGAAGGCAGAUACAAUUUCAUCAUUGAUAAAGUUUAAUAUAAUUUUGAAAUCCACACGUUUGAUCAGUUACGAGUCAUCCUUAUUCACAGUAACAGUUUACAGUCAAAUUCAGAUUAGUCAAUUGAUCAAAACGAUUGACAAAUACAUCCAAUGCUUGUCUGGGAUCUCUGAAUUGAGCUGCGAAGCUUGAUGAAAUGAACUUUGGGGUCGGAAUUAUUGCGAGCGAUCGAGCAUCGAAUUCUCAAGUUCAUCAUGUUCCGUGACAACACAAAUAUGCUGGAGUCAAGUCGAGUCAAAUGUUACUUGAGAUCAAAAUAUGUGUCGCAGUGACAUACUUGCCUGCUGGAUAUAAUACAGAGUAGAGUAAUUUCCGCUGAAUUAUGAAUAUUUGGAUUAUUUGGGCAUGAACAAAUGCGCAGAGACACUAGGGCCAAUGCAAACAUCUCCUAUAGGACCUCCGGAACGCCAUUAACGCAGUUUCUGUGACUUGGU